CACGUAGGGGGCGAGCGUUGUCCGGAUUUAUUGGGCGUAAAGAGCUCGUAGGCGGUUUGGCAAGUCGGGUGUGAAAUUUCGAGGCUCAACCUCGAAACGCCACUCGAUACUGCCAUGACUGGAGUCCGGUAGAGGAGUGCGGAAUUCCUGGUGUAGCGGUGAAAUGCGCAGAUAUCAGGAGGAACACCAAUUGCGAAGGCAGCACUCUGGGACGUGACUGACGCUGAGACGCGAAAGCGUGGGGAGCAAACAGG
Molecule: ribosomal RNA, 254 nt
Filed under: uncultured bacterium
Lineage: Bacteria
Description: partial 16S ribosomal RNA
Rfam family: Bacterial small subunit ribosomal RNA
Source: RNAcentral